This 595-nucleotide ribosomal RNA is filed under the name Candidatus Methanoperedens sp. RNAcentral's name for it is "bacterial SSU rRNA". It matches the Rfam family "Archaeal small subunit ribosomal RNA", at positions 1 to 600 of the family's 1478-position model. The record is from RNAcentral. Lineage: Archaea; Methanobacteriati; Methanobacteriota; Methanomicrobia; Methanosarcinales; Candidatus Methanoperedentaceae.
AUUCUGGUUGAUCCUGCCAGAGGUUACUGCUAUCGGGGUCCGACUAAGCCAUGCGAGUCGAGAGGGUAAAGCCCUCGGCGCAAUGCUCAGUAACACGCGGAUAACCUGCCCUUGGGUCCGGGAUAACCCCGGGAAACUGGGACUAAUACCGGAUAGAUCAAAGAUACUGGAAUGUUCUUUGGUCCAAAACUCCGGUGCCCAAGGAUGGGUCUGCGGCCUAUCAGGUAGUAGUGGGUGUAACGUACCUACUAGCCUACGACGGGUAAGGGUUGUGAGAGCAAGAUCCCUGAGAUGGAUUCUGAGACAUGAAUCCAGGCCCUACGGGGUGCAGCAGGCGCGAAACCUUUACACUGCGGGAAACCGCGAUAAGGGGACCCCGAGUGCCAGCACCUAGUGCUGGCUGUCCUGCUGUCUAAACAACAGUGGUUAGCAAGGGCCGGGCAAGACCGGUGCCAGCCGCCGCGGUAACACCGGCGGCCCGAGUGGUAGCCGCUAUUAUUGGGUUUAAAGGGUCCGUAGCCGGCCUAUUAAGUCUCUUGGGAAAUCUGGCGGCUUAAUCGUCAGGCGGCCAAGAGAUACUGGUAGGCUUGGGACC